AGUUAAAUUUCUUAGAAAAGAUUUAUGAAUUGAAAUCAUAAAAAAGAAGUUCAAUUCUUCUAUUAACUU
This 69-nucleotide transfer RNA is filed under the name Lamproblatta albipalpus. RNAcentral's name for it is "tRNA-Ser". It matches the Rfam family "tRNA". From Rfam's summary of the family: Transfer RNA (tRNA) molecules are approximately 80 nucleotides in length. Their secondary structure includes four short double-helical elements and three loops (D, anti-codon, and T loops). Further hydrogen bonds mediate the characteristic L-shaped molecular structure. tRNAs have two regions of fundamental functional importance: the anti-codon, which is responsible for specific mRNA codon recognition, and the 3' end, to which the tRNAs corresponding amino acid is attached (by aminoacyl-tRNA synthetases). tRNAs cope with the degeneracy of the genetic code in two manners: having more than one tRNA (with a specific anti-codon) for a particular amino acid; and 'wobble' base-pairing, i.e. permitting non-standard base-pairing at the 3rd anti-codon position. RNAcentral also lists the same sequence under 1 other name. Lineage: Eukaryota; Metazoa; Arthropoda; Insecta; Blattodea; Lamproblattidae. The record is from RNAcentral.